GACGAACGCUGGCGGCGUGCUUAACACAUGCAAGUCGAACGAAGUGGCGAACGGGUGAGUAACGCGUAAUCAACCUGCCCUUCAGAGGGGAACAACAGUUGGAAACGACUGCUAAUACCGCAUACUGAAGGAGGGGAUUGCGGCUGAUUAGCUAGUUGGAGGGUUAACGCCCCACCAAUGCGAUGAUCAGUAGCCGGUCUGAGAGGAUGAACGGCCACAUUGGGACUGCGACACGGCACAGACUCCUUCGGGAGGUAGCAGGUGGGAAUCUUCCGCAAUGGACGAAAGUCUGACGGAGCAACGCCGCGUGAGUGAGGACGGCCUUCGGGUUGUAAAGCUCUGUUAAUCGGGACGCGGUACCGGAAUAGAAAGCCACGGCUAACUACGUGCCAGCCGCCGCGGUAAUUC
This 408-nucleotide ribosomal RNA is filed under the name uncultured bacterium. Its description in RNAcentral is "partial 16S ribosomal RNA". It matches the Rfam family "Bacterial small subunit ribosomal RNA", at positions 28 to 526 of the family's 1533-position model. The record is from RNAcentral.